GCCAAUAUGGUGUAGUGGUUUGGACGUUGGACUAAGACUCUGGAGACCAGGGUUCAAAUCCCUGCUCAGCUA
Molecule: transfer RNA, 72 nt
Filed under: Phrynosoma platyrhinos (Desert horned lizard)
Lineage: Eukaryota; Metazoa; Chordata; Lepidosauria; Squamata; Phrynosomatidae
Description: tRNA-OTHER
Source: RNAcentral